RNAcentral lists this ribosomal RNA (253 nucleotides) under uncultured bacterium. Its description in RNAcentral is "partial 16S ribosomal RNA". It matches the Rfam family "Bacterial small subunit ribosomal RNA", at positions 524 to 776 of the family's 1533-position model. The record is from RNAcentral.
UACGGGGGGGGCAAGCGUUGUUCGGAAUUACUGGGCGUAAAGGGCGCGUAGGCGGUGUGUCAAGUCAGGCGUGAAAGCCCCGGGCUCAACCUGGGAACUGCGCUUGAGACUGGCACGCUCGAGUUCGGGAGAGGAUGGUGGAAUUCCCAGUGUAGAGGUGAAAUUCGUAGAUAUUGGGAAGAACACCGAUGGCGAAGGCAGCCAUCUGGACCGACACUGACGCUGAGGCGCGAAAGCGUGGGGAGCAAACAGG